This 228-nucleotide unclassified non-coding RNA is filed under the name plant metagenome. Its description in RNAcentral is "partial contains small subunit ribosomal RNA, internal transcribed spacer 1, and 5.8S ribosomal RNA". The record is from RNAcentral.
UCUCCGUAGGUGAACCUGCGGAGGGAUCAUUACAGAGUUCAUGCCCUACCGGGUAGAUCUCCCACCCUAUGUUAUUAUUACUUUGUUGCUUUGGCGGGCCGUUAGGCUCCGGCCCGAUUACCGGCCCCGGCUGGUAAGCGCCCGCCAGAGGACCCAAAACCCUGAAUAUUAGUGUCGUCUGAGUACUAUAUAAUAGUUAAAACUUUCAACAACGGAUCUCUUGGUUCU